GAUGCUGCUGGCGUUAUGCCACCUGGUGGAUGGCUCGGCUCAGGGCGCCGAAGAAGGGCGUGCCAAGCUGCGAAAAGCCUCGGGUAGGCGCAGGGAGCCGUAGAACCGAGGAUGCCCGAAUGGGAAUUCCUGCCAUCAGGCGCUCCCGUAAGCUUCGGCUGAGGGAGCGGGAACGCCCCGAAUUGAAACAUCUUAGUAGGGGCAGGAAAAGAAAUCAAACGAGAUGCCGUGAGUAACGGCGAGUGAAAACGGCAGAGCUCAAACCGAACCCCUCUCUGAAAGGGGAGGGGGAUGUGGAGUUGGAAGUGGGCGCCAAUAUGCAUCCCGACACGCCGAAGCCGAAGUUCCCUGGAAUGGGACGCCAUAGAGGGUGAGAGCCCCGUAGGCGUAAGGCGUAGGGAUGCGGCGCCCACUUGAGUACCGUGGGUUGGAUUUCCCGCGGGAAUCUGGGGGCUACCAACCUCCAAAGCUAAAUACGUCCUGAGACCGAUAGCGCACUAGUACCGUGAGGGAAAGCUGAAAAGCACCCCGUGAGGGAGGUGAAAAGAGCCUGAAACCAGGUGGCGAUAGUGUGAUGCGGCACGAAAGCGAUGAAGGCGCCGAAGCCUCUUCUGGCGAGGCGUUCUGAGCGGUGUCGCAUCGUCCGUUUUGAAAAACGGGCCAGGGAGUGUGUCCCGAUGGCGAGGCUAACCCGAAAGGGGGAGCCGUAGGGAAACCGACAUGCCCGCACCCGAAAGGGGAGGGGCGGCGUAUGAACUGCGUGGAGUCAUCGGGGCACGACCCGAAGCCGGGUGAUUUAGGCGCGGGCAGGGUGAAGCCUCCCGAAAGGGGGGUGGAGGCCCGAACCGGUGCUGACUUGCAAAUCGCUCGGAUGACCCGCGUCUAGGGGUGAAAGGCCAAUCAAACCCGGCGAUAGCUGGUUCCCCCCGAAACAUGCCACAGCAUGACCCGGUCGGAGGCGGACGGCGCUGUAGAGUCACUGAUUGGAGGUCACGGGGGCGAAAGCCCUCGCCCUCCUGUCAAACUCCGAAGGUGCCGUCGCCGUAGAGGACCGGAAGUCGGGGCAUCGGGGUAAGCUCGAUGUCCGAAAGGGGAACAACCCAGACCGGGGUUAAGGCCCCUAAGUGUCGGCUAAGUGUCGAAAUCCAAAGGGCGUCCCGAGCCUGAGACAGCUGGGAGGUUAGCUUAGAAGCAGCUACCCUCUAAGGAGUGCGUAACAGCUCACCAGCCGAGGCUCGGGGCACCGAAAAUGGACGGGGCUAAAGCCGACCGCCGAUACCCCGGGACACCGAAAGGUGAUUCCGUAGGGGGGCGCUCUGCGAGGGUGGAAGCAUCUCCGUGAGGAGGUGUGGACCUCGCAGAGACGAGAAUCCUGGCGAUAGUAGCAGCGUAGUCGGGUGAGAAUCCCGAUCGCCGAAGGGGCCAGGUUUCCUCGGCAAUGUUCGUCAGCCGAGGGUUAGCCGGUCCUAAGGGCGUCCUCAACCAGAGACGCCCGAAGGGGAAGCAGGUUAAUAUUCCUGCGCCGUCCAGCCUGAAAGGGCGAAAGCCCGCCCGACGCUUCCGGGUAUGCCGAGCGGCGCCGUCGCGCCGUCCAAGCCCAGAAGCCUCCGGAGAGCCGUAAGGGCGAGAAGGGGGUGAAUGGGUGAUGGCGAAAGUCGGCAGAGCCCGGGAGCCCGUGAAAAGGGUGGCUGGACGACCGUACCGAGAACCGACACAGGUGCCCCUGGGUGAGCAGCCCAAGGCGUGUCGGGGCACUCCGGCUGAGGGAAAUCGGCAAACUCGCCCCGUAACCUCGGGAGAAGGGGUGCCUGCUCUUGCGCAAAGAGCAGGUCGCAGUGACAAGGGGAGGCCGACUGUUUAAUAAAAACAUAGGUGGCUGCAAGCCCGAAAGGGUGAGUACAGCUGCCGACUCCUGCCCAGUGCCGGUCCCUGAAAGCCCCGUUCAAGGGGACGAAGGGCCGGUAAACGGCGGGGGUAACUCUGACCCUCAAGGAGGGGGUCGUUAAAUCCGGCUGUAUGCUGGGAAGUUUGAGCGCCCGGCUCCUGAGUAAGGGAAAAUGCCGGGUGCGAUGAGAACAAUCAGCAGGAAACCGAGGAGGUGCGUGCUGCUUGCUCUAUGAGUUCAGGGAUUUGAUUGACCCGAGAAUGCUUCCAGGGCGGAGGAAGGAACUCAUGUAUUACCUCGUGGGCUUCACCGACGCAGAGGGUUGCUUCAGUGUUUCGCUGAAAAAGCAGGAAGGCACGAGGUUUGGAUGGGUUCUUGACCCGGUGUUCCAUGUGACGCAGCACAAAAGCAAUCGCAUCGUGCUUGAAAUCUUCCGCCGAAUACUCAUGUGCGGCAGAAUCAUUGAGAAGCAUGGACAGUCAGACACGCUGGUUUACAUCGUUGACAACCGCAGACAGCUCGCAGAGAAAGUGAUUCCGUUUUUCCGAAGGCACAGACUUAUCCUGAAGCACAGAGAUUUUGAGCGUUUCGCAGAGAUUGUGGAGGCAUUAGAGGAGAAGAAGCAUGCGACGGCUGAGGGCUUCAGGGAACUUGUGCAGAAAGCGUUUGAGAUGAACUCGGCGGGUAAGCAGCGGAGACACACGCUUGAGGAAAUCCUCAGUGAUAUUGCCUCUGUGGCCUCCUCGGGAUCCUCAGAGGCCAUACGCCGGACGCCCCGAAGAAGGCGUGAGUAACGCCGAGAAGGGGCGAAGAUAUGGUCCACCCGAGAAGGGUGCUUAAGGUAGCGUAAUACCUAGCCGCUUAAUUGGCGGCUUGCACGAAAGGAGGAACGAGCCUCCCGCUGUCCCCAGCCGGAACCCGGCGAAAUCCACAUCCUGGGGAACGGUCCAGGGACCCCCGAGGGGAAGCGAAGACCCCGUGGAGCUUUACUGCAGCCUGCCGCUGGACCAUGGCUUCGGAUGUAGAGCGUAGGUGGGAGGCAGUGAGACGCUCUCGCCAGGGGGCGUGGAGCCGCCAAUGGAACACCACCCUUCCGAGGUUGUGGUCCUUACCCGAAAGGGGACAACGGCAGGUGGGCAGUUUGGGUGGGGCGCCACGCCCUCGAAAAAAUAUCGAGGGCGCCCAAAGGUCGGCUCAGCCGGGUCAGAACUCCGGCGUGGAGUGCAAGGGCAAAAGCCGGCCUGACGUGACCCCGCAUACCAAAGGGUCACGAGCCGAAAGGCGGGCCUAGCGAACCUUUGAGGGUCAUUGGUAGGCCCCAAAGACGUCAGAAAAGCUACCCCGGGGAUAACUGAGUUGUCUCCGGCGAGAGUCCACAUCGACCCGGAGGCUUGCUACUUCGAUGUCGGCUCUUCCCAACCUGGGCGUGCAGCAGCGCCCAAGGGUAAGACUGUUCGUCUGUUAAAGGGGAUCGUGAGCUGGGUUUAGAACGUCGCGAGACAGUUCGGUUGCUAUCUAUCGGGGGUGUCGGAGGUCUGAGGGGAAGCUCCCCCUAGUACGAGAGGAACGGGGGGGCGGCGCCUCUGGUCUACCGGUUGUCCGACAGGGCAACGCCGGGCAGCUACGCGCCAGUGGAUAAGAGCUGAAGGCAUCUAAGCUCGAAGCCACCCCCGAAAAGAGACCUCAUAGGGCACCGCUAGAACAGCGGUUUGAUAGGGCCGGGGUGUAAGUGCCGAGGCGAAAGCCGAGGCAUUCAGCCCGCGGCUACUAACGCCCGUGCCAGCACUUGA
Molecule: ribosomal RNA, 3675 nt
Filed under: Candidatus Methanospirare jalkutatii
Lineage: Archaea; Methanobacteriati; Methanobacteriota; Methanomicrobia; Candidatus Methanophagales; Candidatus Methanospirareceae
Description: 23S ribosomal RNA
Rfam family: Archaeal large subunit ribosomal RNA
Source: RNAcentral